CUACGGGAGGCAGCAGUGGGGAAUAUUGGACAAUGGGGGCAACCCUGAUCCAGCAAUGCCGCGUGUGUGAAGAAGGUCUUCGGAUUGUAAAGCACUUUCACUAGGGAAGAUGAUGACGGUACCUAGAGAAGAAGCCCCGGCUAACUUCGUGCCAGCAGCCGCGGUAAUACGAAGGGGGCUAGCGUUGCUCGGAAUGACUGGGCGUAAAGGGCGCGUAGGCUGUUUGUACAGUCAGAUGUGAAAUCCCCGGGCUUAACCUGGGAACUGCAUUUGAUACGUGCAGACUAGAGUCCGAGAGAGGGUUGUGGAAUUCCCAGUGUAGAGGUGAAAUUCGUAGAUAUUGGGAAGAACACCGGUUGCGAAGGCGGCAACCUGGCUCGGAACUGACGCUGAGGCGCGAAAGCGUGGGGAGCGAACAGGAUUAGAUACCCUGGUAGUCCACGCUGUAAACGAUGUGUGCUGGAUGUUGGGUGAUUUUAUCAUUCAGUGUCGGAGCUAACGCGUUAAGCACACCGCCUGGGGAGUACGGCCGCAAGGUUGAAACUCAAAGGAAUUGACGGGGGCCGNCACAAACGGUG
Molecule: ribosomal RNA, 578 nt
Filed under: Acetobacteraceae bacterium CP13
Lineage: Bacteria; Pseudomonadati; Pseudomonadota; Alphaproteobacteria; Acetobacterales; Acetobacteraceae
Description: bacterial SSU rRNA
Rfam family: Bacterial small subunit ribosomal RNA
Source: RNAcentral